UACGUAGGGUGCAAGCGUUAAUCGGAAUUACUGGGCGUAAAGCGUGCGCAGGCGGUUUUGUAAGACUGUCGUAAAAUCCCCGGGCUUAACCUGGGAAUGGCGAUGGUGACUGCAAGGCUAGAGUUUGGCAGAGGGGGGUAGAAUUCCACGUGUAGCAGUGAAAUGCGUAGAGAUGUGGAGGAACACCGAUGGCGAAGGCAGCCCCCUGGGUCAAGACUGACGCUCAUGCACGAAAGCGUGGGGAGCAAACAGG
RNAcentral lists this ribosomal RNA (253 nucleotides) under uncultured bacterium. RNAcentral's name for it is "partial 16S ribosomal RNA". It matches the Rfam family "Bacterial small subunit ribosomal RNA", at positions 524 to 776 of the family's 1533-position model. The record is from RNAcentral.